GUGAGCGACUUAAGUGCUGACUCUUCCAAGCUUGUGACGCCAGUGAAGCUGACAGUUUCGUUCCAGCCUUACACGCUGUGGAAGGUGUUCUAGUGUGUAGCAUCCCCACACCUGGUUCUUCAGUUUCCGGUGCGACUUCGUGCUUGGAUUCUUCUGGCUUGUAUUCAUCUUCGCUUUCCGUGCGGCGUUUCCGGAACCACCACACAGAAAAGGUCACGCGGAUGCCGCCACGCCCAUGACGUCACUUUCACUUCCUGUGUGACGUACGGGAAGUUAGGGUUAUCGCUCAGCUGUGCGAGGAGGGGGCCGUGCGCCUCGAAAGUUUUUCUCGGCUGCCGUUCCCGACCACGAGUGCAAAUGAAGAGAUCCGGCCGUAGGAAGAAGAUGUCGGCUAAUUUGCCCGGCGAGUUCGCCAAGUUCGCCAAGAACAGCAAGUAUUUGCGGCGGAUAUGGAGAGACACCAAAGCGUCGCUCGACGACAUCGCCAAGUGCGGCUAUUUCAGCGAAGACCAGCUUGCCCAGCUGUGUCUGAAUGAGACAGACGACCAGUUCAUUGGGAGCGCAGUGACUCAGCCUGUUGCCCUGGUGGUUCUUGGCCACAGCUGCUGGGCCAAGGCACGGGUGGUCAAUGAGCUGUUUGGCCAGGCGGUGCUGCCAGUCACCUCGCCUGUUGGGGAUGAAAGCCAGCUCACCUGGAGAAUGGUUCGUUUCUCAGCAGGUAACCAGACAGAGAUUAGCCUGGCCUUGCCCAAUAGUUUCGAGCUAGUGGAGCACUUGGCCGCCUAUGACCAGCCCUGGAGGACUAUUCCACGGGCUGACCUUGAGGUCGAGGCCGAGGCACGCAAGGAUCCAGCCCUGAGCACUGCUGCUCUGGAGAUCCGCAUGAAGCACCCACUGCUUCGGGACGAAGUGCAUGUUGUGGCCACACCUUGCAACGACAGCCUUUCCUUCGAGCAGACCUAUCGGCGAGCGACUGAAGGUUGCACUCCGCUGCUGUUAUAUGCAUUCGCAGAGGAAGCCUUCACAGAGAAGGAGCUGGCUGACCUGUACGAACUGAAGCGGAUCGCUCCCAAAACCCCAGUGCUGUUCAUCCGGGCCAACAUGCCAGCCACAUCGGAGUUGACGGAAUCUGAGCAACACGCUCGCAGUCUGCGCAAUGCCAGACUUGCAGAGCAGGUUCAGCUGUGCACAGCAUAUGUUGACGGCGAGAACAGUGGCAGCGAGGACAAACAGGCGGCGGAGACCCCCAUGCAGACCGAGGAGGAAGCCCCAAGGUCCGUAAUCACCUUGCCCGUGACAGCACAACAGCAGCUGAGCAACCUGGGCUACCUUUCCAAGCACUUUCCAGAGAAACAGCGGCACCAUGACCGGCGGAGGCCGAACAUGAGGUGCGCCAAUGGGUGCUCACCCAGCUCGGAGCUCGUCGAGAACUUCGACGACUUUGCCUGCAACGUCUGCCUGUUCGUACGGAGCGCUCUUCAGUCGUUGCUGGUGAGUGCCGCAUCACUGCUCAACACAACGCACUUGCACUGCCUGCGAACAUUCAUCCUGACGGCAUUCGACAUGACGCGGGACAUGAUGAUCACGCCCAAGCGGCUGGCGUAUGCGCGCAAGCAGGAGACGGGACUCUACCAUGCGCUUAUGGAGGUAGCCAGCCACAAGCAGGAGGAGAUCCGGCUACUCAUUGUGGGUGCCAUCGAAAACUUGCGCAGCGAGGUGCUUCAGCGAGCGGCCGAGUACCCCUUCGAAGGUGUCAUUGUGGACGAAGGUGAGCAGGCUGCCCCACCAACAGCCAGUGUCCUCCAGAUGUGCACAUCCCAGAUUCAGGACCUCGUGCUGGGAAUGCUCAAUGCAGCUGUCGCCGAGAAGCUUGUCGGCUCUAUGAACUGCCUUCGUGAGAGCUUUGUGGGCACUCUGGAGAGGUGCCUAGCAAGUCUGGAAGGCGUCUGCAAAGAAGACGACUGUAUGCAGGCCAGCAAUGCUCUCAAGCAAAUUCUCAAUGCAGCAUACCAGGUGGAGGUUACCGUGAAAACCAGCUCUUCGCUCCUCUGGGUCCUCUGGGAGAAAAUGAAGCAGCUUGUGCAGACACUGCCAGGUCGUGCUCCACCACGGAUCGACGCGGAGUGGCGCCAGAGGGUGGCCGCAGAUAUGCUAGAGUCACUGAGCGAGUGGCGGCUGGCACGCUGCAUCUGCGCUCAGUUCCGUGAGCGACUGCGGUCCUCGCAUGAGCAGUUUCAAGCUGCCAUGCGACAGCUGGAGGCUGUCCACUCCGGCCGCCUCGAGCGUACAGAGACGCAGAGGAUCAAGGUACGAAAGCUGCAUGCACCACGCCUGGCCCGCUGUGCCCUGGAGAGCACAUCCUUGCGGGACGAGAUCCUUUACGGGAUGCCCCAGCUGGGGCGUGAACUGGGCCGGGGCCAGUACGGCGUAGUAUACUCGAGUGAACCCUGGGGUGGGCGGUCUCCAUGCGCGGUCAAGUCAGUGGUGCCUCCCGAUGACAAGCACUGGAAUGACCUGGCCAUGGAGUUUUUCUACACACGCAGUGUGCCUGACCAUGACCGCAUUGUACAGAUACGGGGGUCUGUCAUUGACCACAACUACGCUGGUGGUACCACACCCGCGGUGCUGCUUGUCAUGGACCGCAUGCAGCGGGAUCUCUACACGGCCUUGCGAACAGGACUCAACUGGCCAGCCAGGCUCAGGGUUGCACUGGAUGUUGUUCAAGGCAUCCGGUUUCUUCACAGCCAAGGCCUCGUGCACAGAGACAUCAAGCUAAAAAAUGUCUUGCUGGACAGGGCGAACAGAGCAAAGCUGACAGACCUAGGCUUCUGCAAGCCAGAGGCGAUGAUGUCCGGCAGCAUCGUAGGCACUCCCAUCCACAUGGCUCCCGAGCUGUUCACAGGUCGCUAUGACAACAGCGUUGACACGUAUGCCUUCGGCAUCCUCUUCUGGUACAUCUGCGCGGGACAUGUCAAGCUGCCCUACGUCUUUGAGCAGUGCCAGACCAAAGAUCAGCUGUGGUCGUGUGUCCGGAAAGGUGCUCGGCCCGAACGACUGCCCCAGUUUAACGAUGACUGCUGGCGGCUAAUGGAGCACUGCUGGGCCAGUGACCCCCAGCGGCGGCCGCUGCUCGGUGAUGUGGAGCUUGUGCUCGAGGCCAUCUCGGAGCAACAGCAGCGGGAGGCCUCGCUCGCCGAGGAGACCCAGCAGCUCUCAGACAGCCUCUGUGCCAGCCAGCAGCAGCAGCAGGCGAGCGGCUAUGGCUACACUCCCUGCCGGCCAAUUGUGCCCACCAAGGACAAGUACGAAAUGGCUGUCCCAGUGUCCGAGCUGAGCGUCAGCACUGAGUGAUAACCGCUUUGCCCUGCAACUACUACUCUUGCUUUAACUGUUCAUGAAGGGAUCCGCUGCUGCGCGAGUAUAGCACGUUGAGGUAUUGCGGUAAACGUGGCAGUGCAGCCGAGUCUGGACGAGACCGACUGAGAGCCAAGGUUGCUGCGUGGUACUGGCAUCUGUCUUGCCCAUUGGCACUGGGCGACUGCUUGCUUCCACUCUCGUGUUAUCGAAAAACAGGACAGCUUGACCUGAAGGCAGCUCACCAACAGGUGAAAUCGACUGCACAGAACUGUGGCCGAACCCAGUCACAGCAGGAUGUUUCCAUCACUCACAUAGGCAUCAGGACUGAGUACCAGUCCUUUGUCCUAUGGAAAUGCAGAGAGAGCGCAGGGUUGCCAAACAUAACAUGCAUGCAGCGCUUUGUGGCUCGUGCUGCUGACAUCAUUGAGCACUGUCGAAACUCUCGCAGCUUAUUUGUCGCAUCUUAA
This 3824-nucleotide unclassified non-coding RNA is filed under the name Dermacentor andersoni. RNAcentral's name for it is "dual serine/threonine and tyrosine protein kinase- like". The record is from RNAcentral. Lineage: Eukaryota; Metazoa; Arthropoda; Arachnida; Ixodida; Ixodidae.